CCCAACUAUCCCUAUUAAUCAUUACGUCAAUCCUAGAAACCAACAAAAUAGGAUCGAUCGUCCUAUUUCAUUAUUCCAUGCUAAUGUAUUCAAGCGUUAGCCUGCUUUAAACACUCUAAUUUUUUCAAAGUAACAGUCCAGAUUCCCCGCAACACCAAAUUAAUGGCAUUACGGUUCAUCAGGAAGGAGGAAUCAGUGAGACCAGUACAUACCUGUGGCACGACCAGCCUACUGACCCCGAAAUUCAACUA
Molecule: ribosomal RNA, 251 nt
Filed under: uncultured Glomus
Lineage: Eukaryota; Fungi; Glomeromycota; Glomeromycetes; Glomerales; Glomeraceae
Description: partial 18S ribosomal RNA
Source: RNAcentral